GAUGAACGCUGGCGGCGUGCCUAAUACAUGCAAGUCGAGCGAACGGACGAGAAGCUUUCUUCUCUGAUGUUAGCGUCGGACGGGUGAGUAACACGUGGAGAACCUACCUAUAAGACUGGGAUAACUUCGGGAAACCGGAGCUAAUACCGGAUGAUAUUUUUAACCGCAUGGUUCAAAAGUGAAAGACGGUUUUGCUGUCACUUAUAGAUGGAUCCGCGCUGCAUUAGCUAGUUGGUAAGGUAACGGCUUACCAAGGCAACGAUGCGUAGCCGACCUGAGAGGGUGAUCGGCCACACUGGAACUGAGACACGGUCCAGACUCCUACGGGAGGCAGCAGUAGGGAAUCUUGCGCAAUGGGCGAAAGCCUGACGCAGCAACGCCGCGUGAGUGAUGAAGGUCUUCGGAUCGUAAAACUCUGUUAUUAGGGAAGAACAUAUGUGUAAGUAACUGCGCACAUCUUGACGGUACCUAAUCAGAAAGCCACGGCUAACUACGUG
This 497-nucleotide ribosomal RNA is filed under the name uncultured bacterium. RNAcentral's name for it is "partial 16S ribosomal RNA". It matches the Rfam family "Bacterial small subunit ribosomal RNA", at positions 28 to 507 of the family's 1533-position model. The record is from RNAcentral.